This is a long non-coding RNA of Mus musculus (house mouse), 347 nucleotides long. RefSeq annotates it as predicted gene, 51972. Lineage: Eukaryota; Metazoa; Chordata; Mammalia; Rodentia; Muridae. The record is from RefSeq and is a predicted model, not a curated record. The transcript has 3 exons.
UGUAGUGGAUUACAUUGAUGGAUUUCCAUAUAUUGAACCAUCCCUGCAUUCCUGGCAUGAAGACGACUUGAUCAUGGAACCAAACGUGGACUGACAAGGUCCCUGGGAUCCAACCUGGGCUGCCAACCUUCGGGACACUAAGGACAGAUGAGCAUAGACACAGUCCCUCACUCAAUCUGGCCUCCCAGAUUGGGUAAAGUGGCUGGCCAUCAUGUCCCUGUCUUUCUCAUGUCUCCAUCCAAGCAGAGCUGGGAUAAGGUUAGUAAUGGGUACUGAAUCCUCAGAUCCUUCCUCCUGCUUGCCUUGAUUAUAAUUGCGCUUGUGUGGUUUCAUAUAGCUUUGUUUUA